Molecule: transfer RNA, 84 nt
Filed under: candidate division WOR-1 bacterium RIFCSPHIGHO2_02_FULL_45_12
Lineage: Bacteria; Bacillati
Also listed under: 2 other names
Description: tRNA-Leu
Rfam family: tRNA
About the family: Transfer RNA (tRNA) molecules are approximately 80 nucleotides in length. Their secondary structure includes four short double-helical elements and three loops (D, anti-codon, and T loops).
Source: RNAcentral
GCCCAGGUGGCGGAACUGGCAGACGCGCUAGCUUCAGGAGCUAGUGGGGUCAAACCCGUGGAGGUUCAAAUCCUCUCCUGGGCA